This 254-nucleotide ribosomal RNA is filed under the name uncultured bacterium. RNAcentral describes it as "partial 16S ribosomal RNA". It matches the Rfam family "Bacterial small subunit ribosomal RNA", at positions 524 to 776 of the family's 1533-position model. The record is from RNAcentral.
UACGGGGGGAGCAAGCGUUGUUCGGAUUUACUGGGCGUAAAGGGCGCGUAGGCGGCCACCGCAAGUCGACUGUGAAAUCUCCGGGCUUAACCCGGAAAGGUCAGCCGAUACUGCGGGGCUAGAGUGCAGAAGGGGCAACUGGAAUUCUCGGUGUAGCGGUGAAAUGCGUAGAUAUCGAGAGGAACACCUGCGGCGAAGGCGGGUUGCUGGGCUGACACUGACGCUGAUGCGCGAAGGCCAGGGGAGCAAACGGG